Mustela erminea (ermine) is the source of this 4354-nucleotide long non-coding RNA. RefSeq lists it as uncharacterized. The record is from RefSeq and is a predicted model, not a curated record. NCBI's taxonomy places the organism in Eukaryota, Metazoa, Chordata, Mammalia, Carnivora, Mustelidae. The transcript is spliced from 4 exons.
AGCGUUUCCUGCCACACAAAACGACGUUAAGAAGAAUAAAAGACCCAGAUCACUCCCUCCCCUCGGCUUAGGUUCAAACCCACACAACCCUUCACCCGCCAGCCCCUAAGAGUUGUCUAAAAGUGAGUGGUAAAAAAGCAAGCUUGCCUUGCAACCAGGACUCUUCUUAACCGCGUUUUCACUCUUUUCAGUAUUUACGGUCUAUGCAUUAAACUCCCUCUGCUCAACAGCUAGGACAGAACCACCCCCUAAAGCACGUUACAGUGAGGUCUUCCCGCGUCUGUCUUUUGGAAAGCACUUGCUCCCGUAAACUGCCUUGGGCCCGCAAUCACAAUUUCAGCAGAAGUGGCUAAGAAGAGGGCUGCAAACAGAAACGUGAUCCCUCAAGAGAUCCCCAUCUAAUUUUGGGCAUCACUGAUCAAGAGCUGCCAUAAUGUGAAUCUCUUAAAUUAAAUCUUCUUAAUUUUUAAUAUCUUAGCCUUGGGGCCCAAUGAGAAAGAAAAGAGAACCCAGGAGUGCCAUUCUUCAUAAUCUGUGAUGUGUGCACUUUACAGAUAUAUUUUUAAUUGUGCAGCUCUAAUAGCCAACAUGAGUCAUUUCAUUAACUGAAGCCAUCUGCAGUCUGCUGCUAUUACUUCUGCAGAUCUUAGCAAAUGGGUUCCUUUUCUAUUUACUGUCUUGAAGAGAAGAAACUGAAUUUCCUACUUUGUCUUUUUAAAGCUGCCCAGAAAGUGGGAAAACUUCAAAGAACCAAAUCAAAUUGAGUUCCUCUUUAAUGCAAAUAUAUUCAAAGGAAAGCAAUUCAAAACACAUUAUUUGAAUAAUGGCAUCAAAACACAACCCUAUUAAAAUUUCAUUAAGUGCUAGUAACAUAAAAUUUUUGUUUGUAAUUCAAUAUGAAAAUGCAAUCUGAUAAUGGCCCUGGAACUGCAAAUCUAAAUGUAAAAUGAUAUUCCAUGUUGUGAUGCAAGUAGGCUAAGAUCUGGGAAACUAUGAGUAAUAACUUUCUGUUCCACACAAGGUCUAACAACAAUAUAUCCUCAAGCAUGCAUCUUAAUGACAGACGCUUACUAAGAAAAACAAAUAUAUCAUCAAGGCAUUCUUUUUUUAUUUUUUUCUUUUACAAUGAAAAUUCCUCUGCUUCAUUUUCCUUCCUUAUAAAUUUGGACUUUUGUUAAAACUCCUGCAAUCAAGAAUUCUGCAGAGGUCCCUCCAGAAGGAUCAAUUGUACCCUGAAUUUAAAAAAAGAAAGAAGGAGGGAGUGAGAGAAGGAAAUCAGCAACCGACAGAGGAGAGAGAAAUGGAAAAUGAGAUGAAAACCUUUGUCAACAAUUAGGCUGCAUUUUCAGUAUAAAUCUGCAGUGUCCUUCAGCAGCAUCUUAAUUCAGAUUGUUAUACUCAAAAUAAGUCAGAAAAGAUACUAGUUAAAACACCUCUCUACCCUGUCCAGGAGAAUACAGCAAAUGACUGCCAACAAGCUCUAAUCAUCUUUAUUAUCUACUGGAUUUUCCUCUUCAUUCACUGGUGUUUCUUGCAGAACCAGAGAAAGAUUUUAAGUUUCCUGCCAACCACAUAGUGCAAAAAACAGGAGAUUCAGACCAGCCACAGCGACUGGUUCAGAAGUCCAGUCAGCAUCCUUUCAGAGGUUCACAUAAGUUCUUUCUCCAAGCCAAGAAGCGGAGUGGUGACGUAAGCCUAGCCACCUUUGCCUUUGCUUGGACAUAGCCUGCCUCAUGGUGAAGCCAACUCAAAGAUCUAAGGAGAUGGAGAAAUAGUCCUAAUGCUGCCAUUUGAAUUCCUGGGUCCCAACUUCAAGGUUUCACUGUCACCUACAAUAGAGGUAUACUCACAGGGCAAGGACACUAAGGAGGAGAAUGGACAAGGCUAGUACUCAGAGAGGGGCAAGACAGAUAAGCUGUUUGGAGAAAAAUGAACAAAUUGAAAUGGAUUAAGAAUAAAAGAAGUGAAUGAGAAAGAAAUGAAAAUACUGAAGGCAGACAAGAAAAACCUCACAUGUAUACAUAACUGGUGGUCCUGAAGAAGAUAACAAUUACAAACUGAAAACCAGAAAUAAUAUUCAGAGAUGGCUGUAGGAAUCCUGGACAGAUGGUGGGUAUGCACAGACCCCUUGUCUCUGGGCCCUUCUCCUUCCUGGUUCCAUCCCUUGAGCUCCCUUGAGCUAAAUAAGCAACAAAAGCAGGUAUGCGUUCAAGGCUGGAGAGUACACAAAAGCCAUGGGUGCUCCAAAAUCUGCAAAGGAGAGUGUACAGGCUUCUUCCUCUCUGAGAUGCAAGAGAGCGCUUGGGUACCUGGUAAGGAGAAAGCCUGCCCCUUCCCAAAGACUGGGAAGACCCAAGAUCAUAUUGUACUUGUGGGUAUUCAGCUGGCAGAAAGCCAGGUCUCUCUUCUGAGAGAGCCUACAGCUUUGAGGGUAGUUCUUCAAGAGCCUGUCCAGGCUGCUGACUAAUUGCCCUCAGAGGAAGCCUUACUGGAAGGUCAAAUGCUAUCAAGCCUUGAUGUUGGGAGAGGCCUUGAGCAGUUUCAAGCCCAUUCAGCCUGGACUCCAAGAGGCCACAUCAUGGUGCCUCAGGAGACAUGUAAACAGUGUGUUCUUUGAUUCACAGUGGCUCAUAAAAGCAAAGUCUGCUGUGCCAGAAACUUCUGGGCCUCUGGCCACCUGCCAGCCUACUUACCAUUAACUCUAGCAGCAUGAACUGUAGAGGAAUGAAAGAAGUGCAGAACCUGGCACAGGUGAAAUAAGAAAAUGGCUCAUUAAAGACAACCCAAGAAUUUAGAGAAGCAGUAAAACUGACAAAAGAGCUACAUUGACCAAGAAAGAACACCCAAAUUAAUAAAAUCGGGAAUGAAGGAGGGGAUAUCACUACCAACCUUGAAAAAAAUUAGAAUGCUAUGAGCAAUAGAAAACAAUAAAUCAGAUAAAUUUGGUGAAAUGGAAAAAUUCCUGAAAGUCACAGGUUUCAAGAAGAAACAGAAAAUAUAAGUAGGCCUAAAACAAAGAAAGAUUGAAUUAGUAGUUUAAAAACCUCCCACAAAGAAAAAUCCAGAUCCAGGUGGUUUCAUUGGUGAAUUCUACCAAAAUUCUUUUAAAAAUAAUUUAAACCAACUUUUUACAAACUCCUUCAGAAAACUGAAAAGCCAAUUCCCAGCUCAUUCUGAGUCCAGUAUUAUCUUGAUACCAAAACCAGACAGUAGGAAAACUACAAACCAACAUCCCUUAUGAACACAGAUGCAAAAAUCCUUAUCAAAAUAGUAGCAAAUUAAAUCUAAUAAUAUAUAAAGCAGAUUGAAGACAAUCCCUAUCAAAAUUCCAGCUGCAUUUUGUACAGAAAUUGACAGACUGAUCCUAAAAUUCAUAAGGAAAUUCAAGAGAGACAGAAUAGCCAGAACACUUAAAAAAGAACAGGAGGACUCACAUUUCCUCACACUUCUACAAUAUGUUAAAACUUACUACAACACUAUGUUAAUCAAAGCUGGCCCAAGCAUAAACAUAUUGUUAUGGGAUGAAUUGUGUCUCCCUCCUCCUCAAAUUUAUAAGUUUACGUCCCAAUUCCUAGUACCUCAGAAUGUGACUGAAUUUGGGAAUAAGGUCUUUAAAUGGGUAAAGUUAAAAUGAGGUCAUUAGAGAGGGCUGCUAAUCCAAUAAGACUGAUGCCGUCAGAAGGACACCAUUCUUCUUCACCCCUGAAAGAAACACCAGGCAUGUGUGCACACAGAGAGAAGGCCAUGUGAGGACAGAGUGAAAAGGCAGUGGUCUGCAAGUCAAGAAGAGAGGCUCAGGAGAAACCACACUAAUGAACAGUUUGAUCUUGCACUUCUAGCCUCCAGAUUGUUAGAAAAUAAGUUUCUGUUGUUUAAGCCAUCCAGUCUGUGGUAGUUUGUAAUGGCAGCUCUGGUAAACUGAUACACAUAGAGAGCAAUGGAGCAGAAGUGAGAGUGCAAAAGUAAAUCCAUACAUCCAUGGUUAGAAAGAGGGACCGAGGUAAUUCAAUGGGGGUAAAAAGAGAUGGUGCUGGGAUAAUGGAUAUUCACAUGCAAAAGAAUCAAUUGGACCCUGACCUCAUACCACAUACAAAAUUAACUCAAAGUAGAAGAUGGGCCUAAAUGUAAGAAUUAAAACCAUAAAACUCUUAGAAUGAAACACAGGAGCAAAUUUCAUGGCCUUGGGUUUGUCAAUGACCUCUUAGAUAAGAGACUAAAAGCAGAAGUGAUAAACAAGAAGAUUUGUAAGUUGUACUUCAUCAAUGUUAAAAAAUUGUGUCCAAGGAUACGCAAGAAAGUGAAAAAGUUGGGGCACCUGGGUGGCUUAGUGGGUGUAGCCUCUGCCUUUGGCUCG